RNAcentral lists this ribosomal RNA (458 nucleotides) under uncultured bacterium. RNAcentral describes it as "partial 16S ribosomal RNA". It matches the Rfam family "Bacterial small subunit ribosomal RNA", at positions 338 to 795 of the family's 1533-position model. The record is from RNAcentral.
CCUACGGGAGGCAGCAGUGAGGAAUAUUGGUCAAUGGGCGAGAGCCUGAACCAGCCAAGUCGCGUGAGGGAGUACUGCCCUAUGGGUUGUAAACCUCUUUUGUCGGGGAGCAAAAGCCGGACGUGUCCGGCUGUGAGAGUAACCGAAGAAACAGCAUCGGCUAACUCCGUGCCAGCAGCCGCGGUCAUACGGAGGAUGCGAGGGUUUACCGGUUUUAUUGGGUUUAAGGGGUGAGCAGGCGGAUUUUUAAGUCAGCGGUCAAAGCGUGGGGCUCAACCCCAGCCCGCCGUUGAAACUGGGGAUCUAGAGUGUGCGAGAGGUAUGCGGAAUGCGUGGUGUAGCGGUGAAAUGCAUAGAUAUCACGCAGAACCCCGAUUGCGAAGGCAGCAUACCGGUGCACAACUGACGCUCAGGCACGAAAGCGUGGGUAUCGAACAGGAUUAGAUACCCUUGUAGUC